RNAcentral lists this long non-coding RNA (786 nucleotides) under Mus musculus (house mouse). RNAcentral describes it as "colorectal neoplasia differentially expressed, non- protein coding". Lineage: Eukaryota; Metazoa; Chordata; Mammalia; Rodentia; Muridae. The record is from RNAcentral.
AGAGCCGCGCACCAAGCCGAUGGCGGUGGACGCAGCAGGGCCCCGCGGUCUGAGUGCGGGCAGGCGCGCGUGGGCGUGUCUCCCUGGCCCACGCGUGUCCCCGGCAUCAGUGUCUCGGCUCUGGUCCAGGACGAAGACUUCUGAAAGCGAGCCAAGGAGAAUCACAGUUCUUAACGGAGCCCCUGACUGCCCGGUGGAAGGAGGUGAUUUAGAAGACAGUGAGUUGAUCUGGGGCAAAGUGAAGCAUCAGUAGCGCCUUCCAUCCCUUCACCUCACCUGGAUCUCUUCACUUCACUCCACGUCUGUCGUCUCCCAUGCAUGAAGCAACAUGGCCAAGUGAAGCUGCAACCAGUAAAGUGUAAGGAUGUUUCUUGGCUUCAAACCAUUUGGAUAAGUGAUGGCAGCAAGCUUCGCCACUGUAAAGUCACCUCUUUGUAAGAAGACAGGAGCUCUUUGUAAAGAAUAUGAGACCUGAGGCUGGGGGAUGGCUGAGAAGGGAAAAGCACCUCUGCACAAGCGUGAGAAAAGGAGUUUGUUCUUCCACAUCCAUGUAGAAAUCUUGAUGCCGUGCCGUGAACCCCAGCUCUCCUACGGGAAGAUGGGAGGCGUAGACAGGAGUUCAUCUGGAAGCUUGAGGCCAGCCACCCAGAUCCUCAGAGCUGCAGACAAAAGAGAGGCCCUGCAGCAAAAGAGUGGAAGGUGAGAACCAACUCCGGAAAGUUGCCCUCUGACCUUUACAAGUGUAUACAUCCACACACAUACAAUAAAAUCAAUUGCUCAAUCACG